RNAcentral lists this transfer RNA (73 nucleotides) under Clostridiales bacterium. RNAcentral's name for it is "tRNA-Thr". It matches the Rfam family "tRNA". From Rfam's summary of the family: Transfer RNA (tRNA) molecules are approximately 80 nucleotides in length. Their secondary structure includes four short double-helical elements and three loops (D, anti-codon, and T loops). The record is from RNAcentral. Lineage: Bacteria; Bacillati; Bacillota; Clostridia; Eubacteriales.
GCUCCCAUAGCUCAGCUGGUAGAGCACUUCACUCGUAACGAAGGGGUCGCAGGUUCAAAUCCCGUUGGGAGCU